This 68-nucleotide transfer RNA is filed under the name Myotis brandtii (Brandt's bat). It matches the Rfam family "tRNA". Rfam says of the family: Transfer RNA (tRNA) molecules are approximately 80 nucleotides in length. Their secondary structure includes four short double-helical elements and three loops (D, anti-codon, and T loops). Lineage: Eukaryota; Metazoa; Chordata; Mammalia; Chiroptera; Vespertilionidae. The record is from Rfam by way of RNAcentral.
GGCUGGGUAGCUCAGAUGGUUGGAGCAUUGUCCUAAUACGCCAAAGUUGUGGGUUCACUCCCCAGUCA